UUUUGGGGUGGUUUCAGGGUUUUUUGGGGUUUUUUUUUUAAUUUUCUCCCCAUGUUUUUUAAACAUUUUUUCGCCAUAUUUUGGGGUUCUUUGGCUGUAUUUUGGGCCAUUUUUGAGAGUGUUUCUGGGGUGGUAUUGAGAUAUUUUUUGGUGUUUCUGAAGGUUUUUUUCCCAGUUUUUUUAAGGCUUUUCACUGUAUUUUGGGGUAUUUUUGGGGAUAUUUUUGAGCAGUUUUUGGGCUGGUUUUGGGCUGGUUUUGGGGUAUAUUUUGCCAUAUUUUGGGCAGUUUUUGGGGUAUUUUUGGCCAUAUUUUGGGCAGUUUUUGGGCAGUUUUUGUGGGUAUUUUUGGGGUAUUUCUGGGCAGUUUUCGGGGUGUUUCCGGGCUGUUUUUGGGGUAUUUUUGGGCAGUUUUUGGGGUAUAUUUUGCCGUAUAUUGGGGUAUUUUUGGGCAGUUUUUGUGGGUAUUUUUGGGCAGUUUUUGGGGUAUUUUUUGGGGUAUUUUGGGGGCGAUUUCGGGCUGUUUUUGGGGUAUUUUUUGGGGUAUUUUCAGGGCGUUUCCGGGCUGUUUUUGGGCUGUUUUGGGGGUAUUUUUGUGGGUAUUUUUGGGCAGUUUUUGGGUUGUUUUUGUGGUAUUUUUGGGCAGUUUUUGGGGUAUAUUUUGCCGUAUUUUGGGGUAUUUUUGGGCAGUUUUUGUGGGUAUUUUUGGGCAGUUUCUGGGCUGUUUUUGGGGUAUUUUUGGGGUGUUUUCGGGGCGUUUCCGGGCUGUUUUUGGGGUGUUUUUGGCCGUAUUUUGGGGUAUUUUUGUGGGUAUUUUUGGGGUAUUUUCAGGGCGUUUCCAGGCUGUUUUUGGGCUGUUUUUGGGCGGUUUUGGGGCGCUGUCAGCGCAGGUCCUGCUCCUCGCCCGGGAUGCUCCUCUUGAUGCGCAGCAGCAGCGCCGUCAGCCACGGCUCCAGGCGCGAGACGGCGUCGAAAUCCUUCACCUGCGGGGGGAAAAACGGGAUUUUGGGGAAAAAAAACACGGAU
RNAcentral lists this long non-coding RNA (1023 nucleotides) under Chloebia gouldiae (Gouldian finch). RNAcentral describes it as "Erythrura gouldiae (Gouldian finch) lncRNA (ENSEGOG00005018335.1)". The record is from RNAcentral. Lineage: Eukaryota; Metazoa; Chordata; Aves; Passeriformes; Passeridae.